GCCGGGCGCGGUGGCGCGUGCCUGUAGUCCCAGCUACUCGGGAGGCUGAGGCUGGAGGAUCGCUUGAGUCCAGGAGUUCUGGGCUGUAGUGCGCUAUGCCGAUCGGGUGUCCGCACUAAGUUCGGCAUCAAUAUGGUGACCUCCCGGGAGCGGGGGACCACCAGGUUGCCUAAGGAGGGGUGAACCGGCCCAGGUCGGAAACGGAGCAGGUCAAAACUCCCGUGCUGAUCAGUAGUGGGAUCGCGCCUGUGAAUAGCCACUGCACUCCAGCCUGGGCAACAUAG
Molecule: signal recognition particle RNA, 284 nt
Filed under: Homo sapiens (human)
Lineage: Eukaryota; Metazoa; Chordata; Mammalia; Primates; Hominidae
Description: Metazoan signal recognition particle RNA
Rfam family: Metazoan signal recognition particle RNA
About the family: The signal recognition particle (SRP) is a universally conserved ribonucleoprotein. It is involved in the co-translational targeting of proteins to membranes. The eukaryotic SRP consists of a 300-nucleotide 7S RNA and six proteins: SRPs 72, 68, 54, 19, 14, and 9.
Source: Rfam by way of RNAcentral